This is a non-coding RNA of Triticum aestivum (bread wheat), 124 nucleotides long. The record is from Rfam. Lineage: Eukaryota; Viridiplantae; Streptophyta; Magnoliopsida; Poales; Poaceae.
CUAGUACUCCCUCCGUCCGGAAAUACUUGUCAUUGAAAUGGAUUAUCUAGAUGUAUUUUAGUUAUAGAUACAUCCAUUUUAAUCCAUUUUGAUGACAAGUAUUUCCGGACGGAGGGAGUACAUG